CGAAUCCGCGCGGGAGAGUCCUCGGUCACCGGCUCCGCCGAAUCGUCCGAGGCGCCGAAGGAGCAAGCCCUCCCUUGAAUCUCUCAGGCCCCGAUACCGCACGGAUGAG
Molecule: non-coding RNA, 109 nt
Filed under: Streptomyces hygroscopicus
Lineage: Bacteria; Bacillati; Actinomycetota; Actinomycetes; Kitasatosporales; Streptomycetaceae
Description: Glycine sequence
Rfam family: Glycine riboswitch aptamer
About the family: This family represents the bacterial glycine riboswitch.
Source: RNAcentral